GAAACCGGGUGAUCUAGCCAUGGGCAGGUUGAAGGUUGAGUAACAUCAACUGGAGGACCGAACCGACUAAUGUUGAAAAAUUAGCGGAUGACUUGUGGCUAGGGGUGAAAGGCCAAUCAAACUCGGAGAUAGCUGGUUCUCCCCGAAAGCUAUUUAGGUAGCGCCUCGGACGAAUACUACUGGGGGUAGAGCACUGUUAAGGCUAGGGGGUCAUCCCGACUUACCAACCCUUUGCAAACUCCGAAUACCAGUAAGUACUAUCCGGGAGACACACGGCGGGUGCUAACGUCCGUCGUGGAGAGGGAAACAACCCAGACCGCCAGCUAAGGUCCCAAAGUAUUGCUAAGUGGGAAACGAUGUGGGAAGGCUCAGACAGCUAGGAUGUUGGCUUAGAAGCAGCCAUCAUUUAAAGAAAGCGUAAUAGCUCACUAGUCGAGUCGGCCUGCGCGGAAGAUGUAACGGGGCUAAGCA
This 471-nucleotide ribosomal RNA is filed under the name Vibrio cholerae. RNAcentral's name for it is "partial 23S ribosomal RNA". It matches the Rfam family "Bacterial large subunit ribosomal RNA", at positions 717 to 1188 of the family's 2925-position model. Lineage: Bacteria; Pseudomonadati; Pseudomonadota; Gammaproteobacteria; Vibrionales; Vibrionaceae. The record is from RNAcentral.